GGUCUGUUAGCUCAGUUGGUUAGAGCGUCGUACUAAUAAUGCGAAGGUCAUGAGUUCGACCCUCAUACGGACCA
RNAcentral lists this transfer RNA (74 nucleotides) under Xylaria curta. RNAcentral's name for it is "tRNA-Ile". It matches the Rfam family "tRNA". From Rfam's summary of the family: Transfer RNA (tRNA) molecules are approximately 80 nucleotides in length. Their secondary structure includes four short double-helical elements and three loops (D, anti-codon, and T loops). Further hydrogen bonds mediate the characteristic L-shaped molecular structure. tRNAs have two regions of fundamental functional importance: the anti-codon, which is responsible for specific mRNA codon recognition, and the 3' end, to which the tRNAs corresponding amino acid is attached (by aminoacyl-tRNA synthetases). tRNAs cope with the degeneracy of the genetic code in two manners: having more than one tRNA (with a specific anti-codon) for a particular amino acid; and 'wobble' base-pairing, i.e. permitting non-standard base-pairing at the 3rd anti-codon position. Lineage: Eukaryota; Fungi; Ascomycota; Sordariomycetes; Xylariales; Xylariaceae. RNAcentral also lists the same sequence under 2 other names. The record is from RNAcentral.